This 765-nucleotide ribosomal RNA is filed under the name Varicosporium giganteum. RNAcentral's name for it is "eukaryotic LSU rRNA". It matches the Rfam family "Eukaryotic large subunit ribosomal RNA", at positions 71 to 853 of the family's 3401-position model. Lineage: Eukaryota; Fungi; Ascomycota; Leotiomycetes; Helotiales; Discinellaceae. The record is from RNAcentral.
GGGAUUACCUCAGUAACGGCGAGUGAAGCGGUAACAGCUCAAAUUUGAAAUCUGGCCCUUUCAGGGUCCGAGUUGUAAUUUGUAGAAGAUGCUUUGGGUGUGGCUCCGGUCUAAGUUCCUUGGAACAGGACGUCAUAGAGGGUGAGAAUCCCGUAUGUGAUCGGUUGCUUUCGCCCGUGUAAAGCUCUUUCGACGAGUCGAGUUGUUUGGGAAUGCAGCUCAAAAUGGGUGGUAUAUUUCAUCUAAAGCUAAAUAUUGGCCAGAGACCGAUAGCGCACAAGUAGAGUGAUCGAAAGAUGAAAAGCACUUUGGAAAGAGAGUUAAACAGUACGUGAAAUUGUUGAAAGGGAAGCGCUUGCAACCAGACUCGCACACCGUCAAUCAUCUAGGGUUCUCCCUGGUGCACUUGGCGGCGUUCGGGCCAGCAUCAGUUUCGGUGGUGGGAUAAAGGCCUUGGGAAUGUAGCUUCUUUCGGGGAGUGUUAUAGCCCUCGGUGCAAUGCCGCCUACUGGGACUGAGGACCGCGCUUCGGCUAGGAUGCUGGCGUAAUGGUUGUAAGCGACCCGUCUUGAAACACGGACCAAGGAGUCUAACAUCUAUGCGAGUGUUUGGGUGUUAAACCCAUACGCGUAAUUAACGUGAACGGAGGUGAGAACCCUUUAGGGUGCAUCAUCNACCGAUCCUGAUGUCUUCGGAUGGAUUUGANUAAAAGCAUAUCUGUUGGGACCCGAACGAUGGUGAACUAUGCCUAAAUAGGGUGAAGCC